Long non-coding RNA from Hibiscus syriacus, 146 nucleotides. RefSeq lists it as uncharacterized. Lineage: Eukaryota; Viridiplantae; Streptophyta; Magnoliopsida; Malvales; Malvaceae. The record is from RefSeq and is a predicted model, not a curated record. The transcript is spliced from 3 exons.
UUAAAGAAAUCAAAGAUGAGAAGAAGACGUCGCAUCGGCUUGUUCCACUUGCCACUAACACAACCAAAGCCCAUCAUGGUUUUGGCUGGGUUGGGGAAUGGGAAAACACAGGUUCUGAGCUCAACAGGAAGCCUUCAGGUGGACCA